This is a long non-coding RNA of Columba livia (rock pigeon), 2412 nucleotides long. RefSeq lists it as uncharacterized. The transcript is spliced from 2 exons. Lineage: Eukaryota; Metazoa; Chordata; Aves; Columbiformes; Columbidae. The record is from RefSeq and is a predicted model, not a curated record.
GGCCUGCCUGCCGAGCGAGGCUCUCCCCCGGUGGUCCCCAGGCGCGGGCGGCCGUGCGCAUGGCAGGAGGGGCCCGCGGUCACCCCGCUCCUCACGGCGGGGCAGCUCCUGGGGCCGCGCUUGUCGAUGCCGCCGUUCUCUUACAAGCUCUUAACGGAGAACGGUGAAGGUUUGCUUUAUUACUACCGCUUCUUAGGGGACCUCAGUAGUCUGUUGUUCGUAGUACUUGCUCUUCGCCCUCCGUCAGCCACAUUUACUUUGGCUCAAGAAGGAAGAGUUUACUUUUCCAGACAUGGGAGGUUGAAGACAGGAGUAGAAGCACCUGCUGGGACAGGCUGCACUACCAGCAAGUUUGCAGCUGAUACAGAAGCAAGGGCCUUUCAGGGGGACCUCCUCAGGCAGGACAUAGAACCCCAGAUCUGUCCUCUACCCAUGGUGCCCUGGUUAUACUGUGCAAGUCUGAGAAGAUUUCUUCUACAUGGGAAAAAAAACAAACCCUGCAUUUAUCUGUUGGCAAAGUUUAAAAAUCAGUGUCUAACACCAGCUUCCCAUUAGUUGAUACAGUAGUUUGCCUUCUCAUGUAGAAUCAAUUCCCAGGUUGCAAGGAGUCUCAUCUGCUGCCCAAAUGCUAAUGCUCAUGGAGAAGACACCUACUGAUGCACACACAGAAUGACAGUUCAUACAUUAAAAAAAGCCAUUAACCACAGUUACCACAAUCAUAGAAUAGUUUGGGUUGCAAGGAACCUUCAAAGCCCAUCUAGUCCAACCAGGGACAUCUUCACCUAGAUCAGGUUGCUCAAAACCCCAUCCAGCCUGGCCUGGGAUGUCCCCAGGGAUGGGGCAUCUUCCACCUCUCUGAGGAACCUGGGCCAGUGUUUCACCACCCUCAUUGUAAAAAAUUUCUUCCUCAUGUCUAGCCUGGAUCUGCCCUCCCAUUACCCCUUGUACUGUCACAACAGGCCCUGCUAAAAAGUCUGUCCCUGUCUUUCCUACAGGCCCCUUUAAGCACUGAAAGGCUGCAAUAAGGUCUCCCUGGAGCCUUCUCUUCUCCAGGCUGAACAACCCCAACUCUCUCAGCCUGUCCUCACAGCAGAGCUGUUCCAGCCCUCUGAUCAUCUUGGUGGCCUCUCCAACAGGUCUAUGUCUUUCCUGUACUGUUGUUGUUUUUGUGUGUUUUGUUGGUUUUGGGGUUUUUACAUACUUACCCUGAAAAGUUCUCGUCUGCCAUUCACUGCACUAGGCCAUGACUCUGAUUUCCUAAAAGUCAGGCAACAUUCAGCACUUCACUCUUGCAGGACACACAUUCUCUCUCCUGUGGCAGGAAGAGAGUUACAUAGAAGCAUAACAUGUUUGUGUUAUGCUUCCUGUAGUGGCCAUUAAUACCCACACCUGUGUUCACUGUUACUGUAUAACACUCUCAAAUCAGAUUUUUCAGAAAUACAUUUAAUAAAAGUCAUAAAUAAAAUCCAAUUUCUGCUUUACAAAUUAAAUAUCAGAAGAGGGAUAUUUUCUUAAUGCAGACUUGCAUUUCAGAUACAAUCUUAGACCAACAAAUACAGACCUACAAAGCUGAAAAUUUAAAUCCGUUUCAAAGUAUCACUUCUUAACUGAUAUAAAACUGCAUUGUCUCAACACAAAGGUUCCAAAGCUUUUAGAAACAUUUCUGUACUUCAGAUUCUUCAAAUGAACACAACUCAGACGUUCUCACUAACAAUUUCUGUUCUUAUAUCUGCGGGUCUAACAUCUCUUGUAGAAGUAGAAACUGUUGUGGUACUGUGACAAUGUCAAUAUCAAAUACACUUUCCACUCCUCAAGGAUGAUAAAGCACAUGCUAGUCUUAUACAGUUGCAUUUGGGCUAGCAGACCUACAGGAUGAGCCAAGCAGCAAUACCACACGUCAGUUUGUCCUACGGUAGCUUAAAGGAAACCUAUUGGCAACUGUGAGUUUCUGAAAGGGGAUGUCACACCUCAGUGAGUGACAGUGCCAGCAGUGCACCAACUGAUGUGGGAGGCUGCAGUUCAGCAUUUUAAUGCUGCAGGUCCAUUCCAGAUACAAUGAUGAUGUCUCAAGAAAGUUUGUCACAUAGUCUGAAGCUGGUAAACUCUUGAACCUUUUUUCAAAAGAUAACCCUGAUCAUUUAGGGAUCCAAUAAAGCUUUCAAAAUCAGAUACCUAAAAAAAAAAAAGAAAAAAAGAGGAAAAUAUAUAAACAUCAAAUUGUAAGAAUGACAUUUUUUCUCAUGUAAAGCAACAAAAAGUUUGAAAGAACUUGGUGAAAUAAAGUGAGCUGAGAAUAGGUUAAUUUUCUUAAUAAACAGCUGACCUACUAGGAGGUGGCAUACAAUCAGUUGCACCCUUUUGUGCUAUACUCACACAGUGUUUACUGUGGUGUUACAUAGAAUAAGUGUCCUC